Phacochoerus africanus (Common warthog) is the source of this 2336-nucleotide long non-coding RNA. RefSeq lists it as uncharacterized. Lineage: Eukaryota; Metazoa; Chordata; Mammalia; Artiodactyla; Suidae. The record is from RefSeq and is a predicted model, not a curated record. The transcript is spliced from 5 exons.
AAUCGCCUGCGAUGGGAGAUUGGAUUUGGGAAGCAGCCGAGAGGAACCAAACCUGUCAUCAGACAGUGGCCUCCUCUGCUGCUCGCAGGGUCACCGGCGGGGGAAGGCAGCUGGCCUCUGUCCCUGGACCCCCGGGACCACACGUGUGAGGGGGCCCAGCGCGAGCUGCCCCAGCCCUGCCCAGCGCCCUCCCGAUGCUGUGGCUGAUUCCAGACGGUGGAGCCUGAUGGUCACUGACCCAGACAGGGACAGGAAGGUGCCCGGCCCUGCAUGCAGUGGAGAGCCAGCCUUGGGGAUGCUAUGCCAACCCACUGCCCUGCAUGGGCUUGGGAGUGGCAGUGCACCAGCUACCACCCACCCAUCUGUCCACCCAUCCCUGCACUGGCUCCACUGUCCAUACAUCUGGCCACCAGCUGGUACAGCCUGCAGUCCCAGCGGGCAGCCAGGUGGACACUGUGGAUGGCCAUGCGGGGUGCCCCAGGCCUGUCCCCGAGGGCCAGGAGGCCAAGGGCAGUGAAGGGUGGCCCCAUCACCAAGCGACCACCCCCUGCUCAGUCCCAGCAGAGGGAGGCAGCCUCUGAGGAGAGCCUGGCUUGGCCCCUGAGCCUGGACCACAGGAAAUCAUUCAGGAAAUCCUUGUCUUUUUGGUCACACCUGUGACAUAUGGACAUUCUUGGGCCGGGGAUUGAACUGGCACCACAGCACUGACAAUGCCAGAUCUUUAACCUGCUGAGCGGCCAGGGAAUUCCCGCUAAAUGCUUGUUGAUCUAAACAGGAAAUCUGGAGACCCGUGAACCAGCUUCCCCCGGAAGAGGAAGCAGCUCCUGCCGCCCCUAGGCGCCCUCACGGCAUGGCGGUGGCAGCAGGCGGGGCCUCCUGAGAGGGGGCACUCACCAGCUGGCUUGGAGGGGGACACGGAGCCACGGUAGAAGGCGGAGCCAUCUCUCGCCACGGCCCACACCUGGUAGCAGGCCCCGAUGGACACGGAGGCGAAGGGCUGGGACCCAGGGGAGGGCCGGCCUGGGCCGAGGAGGAAGCCGCAGGAGGACAAGGCCACACCCAUUCCCUCCCUCUUACCUGGCCCAGCACCUUCUCCGGACAAAAUCCUUCAUGGUUUUGUACCCGUGGUAUGAGCUGCAAGAGGAAGAAGCUGAAAUCAAGACCUUUCAGUGGGAAGGUUCUGGAAAGUGUCACAGCACACGUUCUUCCUCCAGGAGUUACAGAGCCUCAGUGCCAGCCGUGGAGCAGGCCCAGAGGGUGGCAGGUAAACGUGAGUGAACCCUGCACGGCCAGCUUCCAGGCAUCUCUGGAGUGACGGUGCAGCAGAGGGCUGACCACCACGCUGGGCGAGCAGAAGUAUGUGGAUCAGAGUCUGAGAAGGACGCGAGCUGCAGGCAGGAGUGCGGUGCCCAGAGCCCCCCACCCCGCCCCCAGGCCACACGACCCAGCAGGUAAGUGCUGGGGAUACUGGGGACCCUCCUGCUGUAGAGCUGGGGCCUCCCCAGCUAAGGUGCUAAGUUACCCGCCUGGUCCCGACAGCCAGUGAGCAGGGCCGAGACAGGUCCACAUGCUCAAGCCCCAGAGAGAGGCCUGGUCCCCAACACGGCACACCUGGGACGUUGCCAGAAAUGCCAAAUCGCCUCAUUGCUCCGGGGGCGGGGCGUGGAGAAGGGCGGGAGCCAGGCUGUCAGGUGAUUCUGCUGCAAACCCGAGGGCCCUGCUCCCGAUUAGAGACGCUCCAUCUUCUCCCUGGGCCUCCCUGGGCACAGGGGUCCCAGCAGCCUCCCCGCAGAGAAGCCUCUUCUCUGCCAGACCUUGAGGCCACAGGACCAACGGGCCAGCCCUGCUCCGGGUCAGCCCCCCGACGUGGACGGACCUCCCCGGGCCCGAGGACAGGAAGGGAGGAGGCCCCACAGCCCCUCGUGGGGCCCUGGGGGGUCGGGACCUGUCUUCUCCAGCCUGGGACGAGGCACUGACCCCGCUGAGUCCCGCCACCCUGAUCACCUGAGGAGGCUGGACGAGCUGCCCGAGUGAGAGCGGUCACACUCCCGGCCGGCGACAAUGGCUUUCCACGUCCUCCCGCUGAGCUCGCUCUGGGUGACGCCCUGACGGAAGUACAGGGCCCGGUCCGCCCAGCCGAUGCCCCAGACCUGGGACAGAGAGAGGUGGCAUGGCCCCUUGACGGGGACUCUGCUCCAGGCCAGCUCCCCCCACCCUUCAGCGUGGCUCAGAAAACGACAAGCUGACUACACCCAGACCAAGCAGGACCUAGAGGCCUCCUCCCGGCGGCGGAUGGGGACGUCGCUGGAGCCCACGCGCACGUACACCUGGUGGUC